CGUAGGACACAAGCGUUAUCCGGAGUUACUGGGCGUAAAGGGCGUGUAGGCGGAUUGGUAAGUCUGCUCUGAAAGCUCCUGGCUAAACUGGGAGAGGCGAGCGGAGACUGUCGGUCUAGAGUGAGGAAGAGGAAAGUGGAAUUCCGCGUGUAGUGGUGAAAUGCGUAGAGAUGCGGAGGAACACCAGUGGCGAAAGCGGCUUUCUGGUCCUUAACUGACGCUCAGACGCGACAGCUAGGGUAGUAAACGGGAUUAGAGACCCCGGUAAUCCUAGCCGUAAACGAUGUGAACUUGGCGUCGGUGGCUUAAACACCAUCGGUGCCGAAGCAAACGCGAUAAGUUCACCGCCUGGGGACUACGGCCGCAAGGUUA
Molecule: ribosomal RNA, 372 nt
Filed under: uncultured organism
Description: bacterial SSU rRNA
Rfam family: Bacterial small subunit ribosomal RNA
Source: RNAcentral